GUCGAGCGGACAGAAGGGAGCUUGCUCCCGGAUGUUAGCGGCGGACGGGUGAGUAACACGUGGGUAACCUGCCUGUAAGACUGGGAUAACUCCGGGAAACCGGAGCUAAUACCGGAUAGUUCCUUGAACCGCAUGGUUCAAGGAUGAAAGACGGUUUCGGCUGUCACUUACAGAUGGACCCGCGGCGCAUUAGCUAGUUGGUGAGGUAACGGCUCACCAAGGCGACGAUGCGUAGCCGACCUGAGAGGGUGAUCGGCCACACUGGGACUGAGACACGGCCCAGACUCCUACGGGAGGCAGCAGUAGGGAAUCUUCCGCAAUGGACGAAAGUCUGACGGAGCAACGCCGCGUGAGUGAUGAAGGUUUUCGGAUCGUAAAGCUCUGUUGUUAGGGAAGAACAAGUGCAAGAGUAACUGCUUGCACCUUGACGGUACCUAACCAGAAAGCCACGGCUAACUACGUGCCAGCAGCCGCGGUAAUACGUAGGUGGCAAGCGUUGUCCGGAAUUAUUGGGCGUAAAGGGCUCGCAGGCGGUUUCUUAAGUCUGAUGUGAAAGCCCCCGGCUCAACCGGGGAGGGUCAUUGGAAACUGGGAAACUUGAGUGCAGAAGAGGAGAGUGGAAUUCCACGUGUAGCGGUGAAAUGCGUAGAGAUGUGGAGGAACACCAGUGGCGAAGGCGACUCUCUGGUCUGUAACUGACGCUGAGGAGCGAAAGCGUGGGGAGCGAACAGGAUUAGAUACCCUGGUAGUCCACGCCGUAAACGAUGAGUGCUAAGUGUUAGGGGGUUUCCGCCCCUUAGUGCUGCAGCUAACGCAUUAAGCACUCCGCCUGGGGAGUACGGUCGCAAGACUGAAACUCAAAGGAAUUGACGGGG
This 875-nucleotide ribosomal RNA is filed under the name Bacillus aerophilus. RNAcentral describes it as "bacterial SSU rRNA". It matches the Rfam family "Bacterial small subunit ribosomal RNA", at positions 61 to 918 of the family's 1533-position model. The record is from RNAcentral. Lineage: Bacteria; Bacillati; Bacillota; Bacilli; Caryophanales; Bacillaceae.